AUGAACGCUGGCGGCGUGCCUAAUACAUGCCAGUCGAGCGAACAGACGAGGAGCUUGCUCCUCUGACGUUAGCGGCGGACGGGUGAGUAACACGUGGAUAACCUACCUAUAAGACUGGGAUAACUUCGGGAAACCGGAGCUAAUACCGGAUAAUAUAUUGAACCGCAUGGUUCAAUAGUGAAAGACGGUUUUGCUGUCACUUAUAGAUGGAUCCGCGCCGCAUUAGCUAGUUGGUAAGGUAACGGCUUACCAAGGCGACGAUGCGUAGCCGACCUGAGAGGGUGAUCGGCCACACUGGAACUGAGACACGGUCCAGACUCCUACGGGAGGCAGCAGUAGGGAAUCUUCCGCAAUGGGCGAAAGCCUGACGGAGCAACGCCGCGUGAGUGAUGUAGGUCUUCGGAUCGUAAAACUCUGUUAUUAGGGAAGAACAAAUGUGUAAGUAACUAUGCACGUCUUGACGGUACCUAAUCAGAAAGCCACGGCUAACUACGUG
RNAcentral lists this ribosomal RNA (496 nucleotides) under uncultured bacterium. RNAcentral describes it as "partial 16S ribosomal RNA". It matches the Rfam family "Bacterial small subunit ribosomal RNA", at positions 29 to 507 of the family's 1533-position model. The record is from RNAcentral.